UUAUUGUAAACAUGAUUUAAAAAUAUUUGAUAUUAUUUUAUUUGAUUUUAAAUGUAUAGUAAACUGUGAGUUGUAUAUGUUUUGUUGAUAUUAUCUAUAUUGUUUAAUGUUUAAGAUUAUACACUUGUAGUUUGAUUGUUAAUUUAAGAGUUUCACCUGUAGUAUACCAUCUUGUAUUAAUAUCGAUCUAAACAUUCAAUUAUAGGAUUUCCAACUUGUAUUAAAAAUUGAAUCACAUCUAAUAUGUUAUUAAUUAUUGUAGUAUAUAAGAUUAUAAAUUUUCAAUAUAAAAUGUAUGAAAUUGAAUAUAAAUAUUUCUAAUUAUGACCCGUUACUCAGUAGAAAGUUUUCUUAAAUCUAUUUUUUAUCCGUUAUAAUAUUUUUUUAUGUAUUGAACAAUUUAUAUUUGUUUUUAAAAAUUCAAAUUAUGGCAUAUGGGAAAAAACUCUAAUUAUUUUUUUAUAAUGAUGAUAUUAUUUUUUCGCAAAAAUAGAAUCAUAUAAAGAUGAGAAGUGAACUAUAAUAAUUAAUAAAAAAUUAAUA
RNAcentral lists this small RNA (543 nucleotides) under Arabidopsis thaliana (thale cress). RNAcentral describes it as "ATSL140350". The record is from RNAcentral. Lineage: Eukaryota; Viridiplantae; Streptophyta; Magnoliopsida; Brassicales; Brassicaceae.